Molecule: ribosomal RNA, 585 nt
Filed under: Pseudomonas sp.
Lineage: Bacteria; Pseudomonadati; Pseudomonadota; Gammaproteobacteria; Pseudomonadales; Pseudomonadaceae
Description: bacterial SSU rRNA
Rfam family: Bacterial small subunit ribosomal RNA
Source: RNAcentral
GAAAGGAACGCUAAUACCGCAUACGUCCUACGGGAGAAAGCGGGGGAUCUUCGGACCUCGCGCUAUCGGAUGAGCCUAGGUCGGAUUAGCUAGUUGGUGAGGUAAAGGCUCACCAAGGCGACGAUCCGUAGCUGGUCUGAGAGGAUGAUCAGCCACACUGGAACUGAGACACGGUCCAGACUCCUACGGGAGGCAGCAGUGGGGAAUAUUGGACAAUGGGCGAAAGCCUGAUCCAGCCAUGCCGCGUGUGUGAAGAAGGUCUUCGGAUUGUAAAGCACUUUAAGUUGGGAGGAAGGGUUGUAACCUAAUACGUUGCAACUUUGACGUUACCGACAGAAUAAGCACCGGCUAACUUCGUGCCAGCAGCCGCGGUAAUACGAAGGGUGCAAGCGUUAAUCGGAAUUACUGGGCGUAAAGCGCGCGUAGGUGGUUUGAUAAGUUGGAUGUGAAAGCCCCGGGCUCAACCUGGGAAUUGCAUCCAAAACUGUCUGACUAGAGUACGGUAGAGGGUAGUGGAAUUUCCUGUGUAGCGGUGAAAUGCGUAGAUAUAGGAAGGAACACCAGUGGCGAAGGCGACUACCUGGA